Molecule: RNase P RNA, 339 nt
Filed under: Acidimicrobiia bacterium
Lineage: Bacteria; Bacillati; Actinomycetota; Acidimicrobiia
Description: RNase P RNA component class A
Rfam family: Bacterial RNase P class A
About the family: Ribonuclease P (RNase P) is a ubiquitous endoribonuclease, found in archaea, bacteria and eukarya as well as chloroplasts and mitochondria. Its best characterised activity is the generation of mature 5'-ends of tRNAs by cleaving the 5'-leader elements of precursor-tRNAs.
Source: RNAcentral
CGAGCCCGUUAGGCGACCGCGGCGCAAGUCGAGGAAAGUCCGGACUCCAUAGGGCACGGUGCUGGGUAACUCCCAGGCGGGGCAACCCGACGGAAAGUGCAACAGAGAGCAAACCGCCGAUGGCCCUUCGGGGCACAGGUAAGGCUGAAAGGGUGGUGUAAGAGACCACCAGCGUCGCGGGAGACCGGGACGGCUAGGUAAACCCCACCGGGAGCAAGGCCAAGCAGGGACGGGUAGCCCGCCCAAUGUCCCAGGUAGGCCGCGCGAGGCCGAAGGCAACGACGGUCCCAGAUAGAUGGUCGCCCACGACAGAAUCCGGCUUACAGACGGGCUCAUGAA